GUUGAACUUUGGCUGCUUAAUGCUUUGGAAGAGUUUCCGUUACCACUCCAAACAUCCAAAUCUCAAGAAGUUACACUGUUUAUAAAAAGACUCGGGAGAAAGACAGACCUUUGUAACAUUGCCAAGACAGUGAGAGCAGUCUUGAACAGCAACAGCAAUGUCACUGUUCUGCGAUCAGAACUGCAUUCUGCCAUUGAUCAGGG
This 203-nucleotide long non-coding RNA is filed under the name Athene cunicularia (burrowing owl). RNAcentral describes it as "lncRNA (ENSACUG00000002267.1)". The record is from RNAcentral. Lineage: Eukaryota; Metazoa; Chordata; Aves; Strigiformes; Strigidae.